This 45-nucleotide non-coding RNA is filed under the name Schistosoma mattheei. Lineage: Eukaryota; Metazoa; Platyhelminthes; Trematoda; Strigeidida; Schistosomatidae. The record is from RNAcentral.
AUCCAGUUGAUGAUUCCCAAAUAAAAAGAAAUGAGCGUCCUGGAU